CGCUAGCGGCAGGCUUAACACAUGCAAGUCGAGGGGUAUAGUUCUUCGGAAUUAGAGACCGGCGCACGGGUGCGUAACGCGUAUGCAAUCUACCUUUCACAGAGGGAUAGCCCAGAGAAAUUUGGAUUAAUACCUCAUAGUAUAGCAGUUUCGCAUGAAACCACUAUUAAAGUUCCAACGGUGAAAGAUGAGCAUGCGUCCCAUUAGCUAGAUGGUAAGGUAACGGCUUACCAUGGCUACGAUGGGCAGGGGUCCUGAGAGGGAGAUCCCCCACACUGGUACUGAGACACGGACCAGACUCCUACGGGAGGCAGCAGUGAGGAAUAUUGGUCAAUGGACGCAAGUCUGAACCAGCCAUGCCGCGUGCAGGAUGACGGUCCUAUGGAUUGUAAACUGCUUUUGUACGAGAAGAAACAACAUUACGUGUAAUGUCUUGACGGUAUCGUAAGAAUAAGGAUCGGCUAACUCCGUG
This 472-nucleotide ribosomal RNA is filed under the name uncultured bacterium. Its description in RNAcentral is "bacterial SSU rRNA". It matches the Rfam family "Bacterial small subunit ribosomal RNA", at positions 34 to 507 of the family's 1533-position model. The record is from RNAcentral.